CCCUUCUACUCCCCUAUAUAGCACAAAUCAAUUCUCUGUCCCAAUGUAUUGGAUUGUUCUUCCCUCUUUGGGUCAAUUUCAAUGCACAAAAGAGUUGAGUGUAUCCUAUCUCCAACCUCUUAAUCCAUCCAGUGUAUUGAUAUUCUCUAUCCUCCCACUAUAAGCUUCUUAGUGACAUAUAAAUUUACCCCCUUUUGUUUCUUUUCCCAUUUCUUUCAUCUUUUUUGCCUCAUUUUCAAGCUGAUUAAUUUUGGCUUUCAAGACACUAUCUUCUGGUUCCAGAUGACUUAUAUUAGCUUUUAAAUUCUUUUCCCAAUUGCCUUCAAAAUCUUUUAAUUGUGCUUUGAAUUGCAUUUUGAGUUCUUACAAAACCUGUAUCCAAUUCACUGGGAUUUAUGAUUUAUAGUUUCCCGAUCCCUCCCCCUCUGUUCUGUUCUCUGUAUAGAAGCUGUCUAUUGUCAUUUCAUUCUUUUUCUGUUGUUUGCUCAUAUUCACCCCUUCUUUGCUCCCCAUAUUUGCCUGUGCUCAUGCUCCACUCAUUUUUUUGGUUUUGGGGGCUUCUGUCCAUCUCCUCUCUUGGAGCUUUGACACAAGAUCUCUCUGUGGAGUCUGUGGGGGAGAUUUGUUGGGAUUUAAGCUUUCCUGUCCUCUGGAGGCUUUUGAUCAAUUUAAAGUCCAGCAGUCAAUGAGGGAGGGGUGUGGAGCCUGGGUUUCCUUGAGUUCUGAAGACUUUUGAUGGGAUUAAGUUCAGCUGAGAUGGGGUGGGUGUGCUCUGAGGCCAAAAGCUCCUGGAAGCCUGCAAAUAUGGAGGAUAUUCAGAGUUCUGAACAGGCUAACAGGCUGGCACCUCUAUGCUCCCUCUCCAGCUCCUUCGGGAAGGGAUCCUGGGGAUUCUGUCUACCUUUCCCUUAUAAACCCAAGUGUUCUUGGAUUCCGGCUUUUGGGGGGGGGCUCCCUUUUAAAUUAAGUGCAGCAGGAGGUUUCCUUGGCUCUGUCUUUUUGGUAGGUUUGAUUUUCAGUCGCCUAGGAGAAUUCACUUUGUGAUCCGUAAGGAAGAAUAUUCAGAGGUCUGAAUUUCUGCUCCCUCUAGGCCACCAUCUUUACUCUGACUCUCUGAACCUCCAAUCGUAAGACAUGAUUCUCUAUACACUGAGCCAAUCAGUUAACCUUCUGAGACUUCUUCCAAAAUUGGCUGAUCAUUGCAGAAACAUGGAGAAGGACAAGAAGAGAAAAGACAUAAAUCUCUACAACAGAAAGAAGAAAAAUGUCUUAUGGAAACAAUAACUUGGUGAGCUUGAAGCUGAUUCCUAGAAUACUUCUCUGAAGGGAAUUGUAGUUUUUCCUUCCCUCCCCCUUUACCUUCCAUCUUACAAUCAAUGAUGUGUAUUGAUUCUAAGACAGCAGAAUGGUCAGGCCUGGGCAAUGGGGGUAAAGUGAUUUGCCCAGGGUCACACAGCUAGGAAGGGUCUGAAAUCAGAUUAGAAUGUGGGACUCGAUUGAGAAGUACUCCUUGGGAAAGAUCAGAGGAGACAGAGUUUUAGCCUUUCCCACCCAAGUUGGGUUCAGGUCUCAGAGAGAGCACUAGCCCAGAGGCAGUUAGUUGAAACAAAUCAGGAAGCAAAGAGCCCCAUUCCUCUUCCCCCACUAGCUUUGCAAACUAAAUCUCCUCCUCCCUGGGGAUGCUUUCCUUGAACAAUGGAAUUUUGGUAUUAAUCUCCACCAGAACUGUUCCUCCCCACCCUCCCAAAAUCCCAGAGUUGGGCCAUCAGACACAGGACGACUCUGAUUCCUAAGCGGUAUUCAAGCUGGGAUGGAGGUCCCCUCAUGAUUUUCCUCCAACCUUCACCAAUGCCCUGGAUUUAGCUCUCCCAUUGGCUACGGGUGUCACGUGCAAUGAGAACCUUUUGUCCGGCCAAUGUUUUUCCCCCUCUCCCACAAAAGGAAGUGUUUGUAUUAGAGGAUAUCUUCCAAGCCCUUUACCACCACCAAUCCUGCAGCUGCCAGGCUGGGGGGACGGAGUGGUGCCCGAAUGCACGAGUAGGAG
Monodelphis domestica (gray short-tailed opossum) is the source of this 2044-nucleotide long non-coding RNA. NCBI's taxonomy places the organism in Eukaryota, Metazoa, Chordata, Mammalia, Didelphimorphia, Didelphidae. The record is from Ensembl.